AGUGAACGCUGGCGGUAGGCCUAACACAUGCAAGUCGAACGGCAGCACAGUAAGAGCUUGCUCUUACGGGUGGCGAGUGGCGGACGGGUGAGGAAUACAUCGGAAUCUACUUUUUCGUGGGGGAUAACGUAGGGAAACUUACGCUAAUACCGCAUACGACCUACGGGUGAAAGCAGGGGAUCUUCGGACCUUGCGCGAUUGAAUGAGCCGAUGUCGGAUUAGCUAGUUGGCGGGGGAAAGGCCCACCAAGGCGACGAUCCGUAGCUGGUCUGAGAGGAUGAUCAGCCAGACUGGAACUGAGACACGGUCCAGACUCCUACGGGAGGCAGCAGUGGGGAAUAUUGGACAAUGGGCGUAAGCCUGAUCCAGCCAUACCGCGUGGGUGAAGAAGGCCUUCGGGUUGGAAAGCCCUUUUGUUGGGAAAGAAAAGAAGCAGGUUAAUACCGCGCUGUUCUGACGGUACCGAAAGAAUAAGCACCGGCUAACUUCGUG
RNAcentral lists this ribosomal RNA (492 nucleotides) under uncultured bacterium. RNAcentral's name for it is "partial 16S ribosomal RNA". It matches the Rfam family "Bacterial small subunit ribosomal RNA", at positions 29 to 507 of the family's 1533-position model. The record is from RNAcentral.